UAUUAAAAAUUUUAUCUAUUUUGUACUAUUAAAAACUAACGUGACUGAUAAAAUAACUAAGUAGUGGCGUGCCACAUGUACCUUAUGUUGACAUAUAGGAACUAAUUUUUAAUAAUAGAAAUGGAUGAAUUUUUUAAUA
Molecule: microRNA precursor, 139 nt
Filed under: Gossypium arboreum
Lineage: Eukaryota; Viridiplantae; Streptophyta; Magnoliopsida; Malvales; Malvaceae
Description: MIR7502 microRNA precursor family
Rfam family: MIR7502 microRNA precursor family
Source: Rfam by way of RNAcentral